UUGUAGGCUGAAACUCGCCUACAUGAAGCUGGAGUUACUAGUAAUCGCAGAUCAGAAUGCUGCGGUGAAUGCGUUCCCGGGUCUUGUACACACCGCCCGUCACACCACGGGAGUUGGAGACGCCCGACGCCGAUUAUCUAACCUUUUGGAAGAAGUCGUCGAAGGGGGAAUCAAUAACUGGGGUGAAGUCGUAACAAGGUAGCCGUAUCGGAAGGUGCGGCUGGAUCACCUCCUUUCUAAGGAGA
RNAcentral lists this ribosomal RNA (245 nucleotides) under Clostridioides difficile. RNAcentral describes it as "partial 16S ribosomal RNA". It matches the Rfam family "Bacterial small subunit ribosomal RNA", at positions 1298 to 1533 of the family's 1533-position model. Lineage: Bacteria; Bacillati; Bacillota; Clostridia; Peptostreptococcales; Peptostreptococcaceae. The record is from RNAcentral.